ACGUAGGGUGCGAGCGUUAAUCGGAAUUACUGGGCGUAAAGCGUGUGCAGGCGGUUCGUUAAGACAGGUGUGAAAUCCCCGGGCUUAACCUCGGAACUGCGCUUGUGACUGGCGGGCUAGAGUGCGGCAGAGGGGGGUGGAAUUUCAGGUGUAGCGGUGAAAUGCGUAGAGAUGUGGAGGAACACCGAUGGCGAAGGCAGCCCCCUGGACAGAUACUGACGCUCU
Molecule: ribosomal RNA, 225 nt
Filed under: uncultured prokaryote
Description: partial 16S ribosomal RNA
Rfam family: Bacterial small subunit ribosomal RNA
Source: RNAcentral